UACGGAGGAUGCGAGCGUUAUCCGGAUUUAUUGGGUUUAAAGGGUGCGUAGGCGGCACGCCAAGUCAGCGGUGAAAUUUCCGGGCUCAACCCGGAAUGUGCCGUUGAAACUGGCGAGCUAGAGUGCACAAGAGGCAGGCGGAAUGCGUGGUGUAGCGGUGAAAUGCAUAGAUAUCACGCAGAACCCCGAUUGCGAAGGCAGCCUGCUAGGGUGAAACAGACGCUGAGGCACGAAAGCGUGGGUAUCGAACAGG
This 253-nucleotide ribosomal RNA is filed under the name Barnesiella intestinihominis YIT 11860. RNAcentral describes it as "partial 16S ribosomal RNA". It matches the Rfam family "Bacterial small subunit ribosomal RNA", at positions 524 to 776 of the family's 1533-position model. Lineage: Bacteria; Pseudomonadati; Bacteroidota; Bacteroidia; Bacteroidales; Barnesiellaceae. The record is from RNAcentral.